This 567-nucleotide ribosomal RNA is filed under the name Triticum aestivum (bread wheat). RNAcentral's name for it is "partial small subunit ribosomal RNA". The record is from RNAcentral. Lineage: Eukaryota; Viridiplantae; Streptophyta; Magnoliopsida; Poales; Poaceae.
AUGGCGGGGCGCGGCGACGACGUGGCCGUGAUGACCGUGGCGGAGUAUGAGGCAAGGAGGAGGAGGCGGGCGGAGCAGGUCACGCUGCCGACCGGCAUGCUGCUUGUGCAGGUGCUGACGGUGGUGACCAUGCUGCUUACCAAGGUGGCUCUCAACGACAUGCACCCCCUCAUCCUGCUCGCCUACCGCAACCUCGUCGCAGCCGCCUUCUUCUUCCUCCUCGCCAUCGUCUUCGAGAGAGCCACAAGGUUCGAGGGACGGCCGUGGCGCGCGGUGGCGUGCGCGGCGGACGCGGCGUGCGCGACCGACAUGGAGGCAUUGGCUGCGGCGUGCGGCGAGCGCGUGGCGUCGGCGACGCGCGACGAGUCCGCGGCUGUGCGGUGUGAUGCCGUGCGUGCGAAGAGCACGGUGGUCGCGGAGACGAGGAGGUCGCGGAGGACCUGCGUGGUGGCACAGAGGUCGCGGCGGCUCGGCGCGACAACCGUGGAGGCGCGUGGCACAGAGCCGCGGUGGACCUGCGUGGUGGCGCAGAGGCUGCGGUGGCGCAGCGUGGUGGCAUGGAGGUGA